AUUGAACGCUAGCGGGAUGCUUUACACAUGCAAGUCGAACGGCAGCGCGGACUUCGGUCUGGCGGCGAGUGGCGAACGGGUGAGUAAUGUAUCGGAACGUGCCCAGUAGCGGGGGAUAACUACGCGAAAGCGUGGCUAAUACCGCAUACGCCCCACGGGGGAAAGGGGGGGAUCUUAGGACCUCUCACUAUUGGAGCGGCCGAUAUCGGAUUAGCUAGUUGGUGGGGUAAAGGCCUACCAAGGCG
RNAcentral lists this ribosomal RNA (245 nucleotides) under uncultured bacterium. RNAcentral's name for it is "partial 16S ribosomal RNA". It matches the Rfam family "Bacterial small subunit ribosomal RNA", at positions 30 to 275 of the family's 1533-position model. The record is from RNAcentral.